CUGACGCCGGGCGGGUUGGGCUGGCUCGGCUCUCGACCGGUCGAGUCGGGGUGGGGGUCCCCUGCGCGAGG
Molecule: transfer RNA, 71 nt
Filed under: Streptomyces aurantiogriseus
Lineage: Bacteria; Bacillati; Actinomycetota; Actinomycetes; Kitasatosporales; Streptomycetaceae
Description: tRNA-Glu(ctc)
Source: RNAcentral